RNAcentral lists this long non-coding RNA (590 nucleotides) under Ananas comosus (pineapple). RNAcentral's name for it is "long non-coding RNA (ACOM_LNC008902)". The record is from RNAcentral. Lineage: Eukaryota; Viridiplantae; Streptophyta; Magnoliopsida; Poales; Bromeliaceae.
CAUCUCAAGGUGAAAUAUUAACUAAAUCCUAAUUAUAUGUAUUAGGAUUAGUCAGAUUUGAUUUAAAUUAAACUCCAAGUGUAUGUAUUAGAAUCCAACAAAUUAAUUUGAUCAGAUGGUUUGAUCAAUUCUAAAUAUAGGUUUAGAAUUUGAUCAAGUUUGAACAUGAUUGUGAUUUGACUCUAGUUUUAUAUGCUAGAGAAUCGAAUAUUUUGGGAAUUGGGAUGUUCGUGAAAAUUGAACUUGAGUUUAGUUUAACGACGUUUCGGUCGAUAUCGAAUUUAGGUUUAGUUUAACGACGUUUCGGUCGAUAUCGAAUUUAGGUUUAGUUUAACGACAUUUCGGUCGAUAUCGAAUUUAGGUUUAGUUUAACGACGUUUCGAUCGAUAUCGAAUUUAGGUUUAGUUUAACGACGUUUCGGUUGAUAUCGAAUUUAGGUUUAGUUUAACGACGUUUCGGUCGAAUGUUUGGUUCACAAGGUUUAUGGUAUUGGGUAUAUGGGAUUAUGGUUCAUGAACUUGGUGUAUGGUUUGUGGUUUAUGAUUCAUGGCUCAUGAACUUGAUUCAUAGUUCAUGGAUUUGGUGUAUGA